UUAGAUCAUGGCAUCUCGGGUGCCGCCUCGUGACGACGAGGCGGAGAAUUGGGAAGCCGGUCAGAGUCCGGCGCUGCCCCCGCAACGGUGGUGGAGUUCAAGUCGCAACGGGAGACCACUGGGCCCAUAAGCCUGGGAAGGUGUCGCGAUGAGUCCGCAAGGACAACUCCAGAGCCCGGAAACCAGCCCGAGGUGUUGAACUCGA
RNAcentral lists this non-coding RNA (205 nucleotides) under Mesorhizobium metallidurans. Lineage: Bacteria; Pseudomonadati; Pseudomonadota; Alphaproteobacteria; Hyphomicrobiales; Phyllobacteriaceae. The record is from RNAcentral.